CAUCUACCUCCUCCUUUCAGAGACAAUUAUGAAAAUAACAGAAGAUUUGCCAUUUUACAUUUUAGGAUGAGACUUCAUUCCAUUACAGGAAGUACUUGUGAGGAAUGUACCACCUACAUCAGCUUCUAGCUGACUUGCUGCAUUUGCAGUAAAACCCUCUGUCAAUAAUUGCAUUCUGUGUUUUAUGAACUAAGAGUACAAGUCCCGAACUUAGGAAUUUACUGAUGGCUCCAACACGACCCCAUUGUCACACCUGCACCCAGCCCAAACCUUGGCAGUGGAGGAAGGUCCCCUGGCACAACUUAAAGAAAGCAGAAGACAUUGAAAGCAGGAAUGUCACAGGACAUCAAACAUACAAGAGCGCCAAGCAAACCUCUUUCUUCCAAAUGUGGUCUCUAGAAGAAGCCAAGUAGAGCUACAGUUCAGGUUUCACAUCAUCAAUGUGGAGCCUAUGGGAACCAAAGGUGACUUUAGAAUGGAUCUGCUGAUGCAACCCUGGGUUCUGUGUCUGUAACGCUCAGAGCUGAAGCCUGAGGGAUGAAGAACCCAGCUGUGCCGCCCUACUUCGUUAAGGAGUAUUUACUCACUUUGAUUACUCCCAUAAGGAAGUGGAUUUUAGUUACUGGUUUGACAUGGAGCCUUCAGGAAGAGACACUCUAUUCCAAAAGCCUCUGCCAGGGCACAGCAUCUCCUGGUGCCUUCUCACCAUCCCUGGCCAACAUUCUCAUAAUCACAAGACAAGAAAUAUUCUUCCUUGGGACAGUCUAAAUGGUACAUAAAUCAGAACAGCUGAAUUAAGAUUUGAAAUGUG
RNAcentral lists this long non-coding RNA (811 nucleotides) under Gallus gallus (chicken). RNAcentral's name for it is "long non-coding RNA NONGGAT002874". The record is from RNAcentral. Lineage: Eukaryota; Metazoa; Chordata; Aves; Galliformes; Phasianidae.